Long non-coding RNA from Bos taurus (domestic cattle), 2950 nucleotides. The record is from Ensembl. NCBI's taxonomy places the organism in Eukaryota, Metazoa, Chordata, Mammalia, Artiodactyla, Bovidae.
AUUUGAUUUUAGUUUUAACAAGUGGAGGGAUAUAGAACUGGAUAUUUUAUAAAAUUAAGCUUAUUUUAAGUGUUUUUGUUUGCAUAUUUAAGCUUUUAUAACAAGUGUCAACUAUUUAUUUAGGGGAUCUUAUUCUGUUAUACCUGUUAACUAGGUUGUGCAUUCCUCAGUUGGACACUGAUAGGUCACUCUCAGUAACGACUUUUUAAAAUUAAUCAGCUGCUGAAAUUCAGCAAUAGGACUUUUUUAAGUAAUGUUCUGAUCAUGGGAUAUUCAAGAUGAAGCACUGUUUGCAGACCAUUUUAAUUGUGGAGGAUUAAAAACCAAACUUGUGCUUACUCAGAACUCAAGCUUGUAAGCCUCACAGAAGUUAAAAGAUUUUUUUUAAUUGCACUUAUACUCUUGAAUGGAGAAGGGAGUGGCAACCCAUUUCAGUAUUCUUGCCUGAAGAAUCCCAUGGACAGAGGAACCUGGCAGGCUCCCAUGGGGUCACAGUCAGACACGACUGAGCGCCUAACACUAUAUACUUGAAGUUAGUUAACAUAAGUAAAUUCUUAUGUUACGCAGAAAUUUAAAACAUUGCACCAAGAUAAAAAGAAACUUUUUCUUACAUUUGCACUUGAGCAGAGCGAAACCUUUCUUCCUAUUCAUUCAGGUUUUGACUGCCUUGCAAGAAUUUUUUUUUGUUGUUAAAAUGAGGUUAAUUUAUAUUAGUAGCAAAAUGAAUCAAGAUUGUGCUUUCCUAUCCCCUACUCCUCCUUUCCUUAACUCUUCUUUCCCUUACUCUUCUUUGGAUUUAAAGAUUAGAUGUAGGGCUAUGAAUGCACUUCUGGAUAGAUUGAUUUCAGAAAUUAAAAUUAAUGUCUCGGGAAUUUUGUGAUGUGGUAGCCAUAUGAAGAUAUCAGUGUGGUACAACUACUGUUAGUAGUUCGUGGUUGAUUUCUUGUUUCUCAUGAAUGGAUCAUGGGCACAGUCAAGUGAGACCCUUGCAAGUUUGGGGGCUGGUCAUCUUGACCCUGUUGGCAAAAACUAAUAUUGACAUACUACUUGAUUAUUCCAUGAAGUUCAAGUCCCAGUGAAAUCUUUAUCAGGAAUGAAUGAACAUAUUUAUACAUUCCCGUAAAUGCCCAUGCCUAAUUUGCAUGUUCAGCUUACUCUAUCUUGUAUAGGCAUUAAAACAGGAAUGUUGUAAGUUCCCCUCUAGCUGAACAUAGUUUUCUAUGUCUUUUGUGAAAAAAAUUGAAUGGGGAAUAUAUAAGAUUAGCAGCAGAGUGAUUUUUUUUUUUCCUCUUUAUGUGUCAGGCGGCCUUCCUAAACUUUCAAAUAUUAGGAUUUUCAUGUUUUUUCAUGUAUUGAGAACACAAAUCUAUUAUUUGCAGCACUUUAAAAAUAUGAAGUAAAAGUUUACAGGUUAGCCCUCUCUGACGAUCUUGUCAGACAUUAAAAUAUAGUUCUUGAGCUGCCAACAAUCAGCUCUUCUUAAUUAAAAGUUACCAUCAGUGAAUAGUGUAUCCAAUGGUACAACAUUCUGGUAAUUCUCUAACAGUAAAACUCCGUUUCAGUAACUAUUAGGAGCAUGCUCUGUGCCCUAGCAUUCAAAAUGUUACUUAUUUCUAUAAUGUGAUUGUUCUUUAUUCAUUGUACAAUGCAGUAUUCAAAUUUGUCCUUGUAGCUCAAAGAUGACUACUGCAACUUUGAAAAUGUUAGAUUCUUAAAACCCUUCAUUUGUUUCUAAGCAGGCUUAUGAUUUUGAGCUGAUUUUUGAGUCAGAGGCCUUAAAAGUCAUACAUAAGCAACAUCACUAAGUCUAAAGUGAAACACUUGAUUUGAAUAAGCUAGUUUAUUAACUAAGGAUGUUUUCUUACUAGGAGUUACGAUAUUUAACAUUUAGCACAUUUCAUCCAACUUAAAAAGAUUAUAAAACUUCGCUGAUUGGGGAAAAAAGUUUCUUUAAUUUUCCAUCUCCAAAACUUAGCUUGCAUUUUGUUUACAGUGCUUUAAAUAUUUGACUUUGAAAAAAUCACAUUGAUACUGGAUUGUGGAAUGAUGAUUUAAGUCUUGGUUGGUAGAAUUUAGAGGAGAUUAAUAACCCUCCCAUGCUGCUUUAGAAGAAAGGAAGAAAGGGGCAGGAAGAUAAAGUGCCACAUAAACACAACAGCUUCUCAAAUGAAUGCAUUCCUAUUCUUGAAUUAUGCUUUUCAGAAAAUGUUUCAGGCAAUGCCUUUGUGUCAUCUUAACCCGUUCACAUUUCUUGGCAUUGACUAUAGCAAGGCCAUAACAGAAAGGCUUGUCAGUAAAGUAUUAAAACAUGACUAUAAACAUUUUGCUAUGAUGCCUUUUUAUACUUGUUUUUUAAAAUGCAUACCUACAUCUAAAGAGUUUGGGGAUAGUGAAAAUAUGAUUUAGUUACACUGUAGGCAAACAGGUUAACCUAGGAAAGGUUUACAAUUUCCUCUCAGAUUACAUGAGCCUGACUGGUAUAGGCUAUGUAGUUAGUUGUCUCCCAUAAGUUACUUAAAGGACCAGGGCACCUGAUUCUUGUUUGUUUUCCAGUUCACCUUGGUGCCAUUUAUCACAUAAACUGUUUACAGGAAAUAGAAUUUCCUUAGCAAAAAGUAACGUUUUUCCUUUAAAAGUAUUAAGUUUAAAGAAUAAAUAUAAUUUGUCAAAAGGAAUAGAGAAUGGCAGUAGUCCUAUAUUUCCUGUAUUAAUGCAAUAGAGGUUGAAAUUCCUGAAGCAAUGAGAAACCUACAAAACUCAAAUUUAGAGCUUUAAAAUAUGACUUGAAAAGUAAUAGAGAAGGACAAAUAGAACAAAGUUCUGUUUCUCUUGACACAAAAUAUUUUUUGCUAAUAAAGAUGGACAGUGCUUCCUUGGUUUAAAAACAUUUUGUUGAUUUGCCAGCAUUUUUUAAAGUUAAUGCACUACUGCUACUACCUGAAAGAUGCCU